Long non-coding RNA from Myotis myotis, 1122 nucleotides. RefSeq lists it as uncharacterized. NCBI's taxonomy places the organism in Eukaryota, Metazoa, Chordata, Mammalia, Chiroptera, Vespertilionidae. The record is from RefSeq and is a predicted model, not a curated record. The transcript has 3 exons.
CAGGGAGUCACAUUCCAGUGCAGUGGGAGCAGCAUGCUGGCUGGCAGCUGGGAGCUGGGCCCCUGAGGAAAGACCCUGGCCUUGAGCCAAGCACCCAGGCCCUGCGGAGCCUCUGUGUGGCUUUGGCUCCAGAAAAUGGAGCAGGAUUUUUUUGGCAGCGAAGGUUAGGCCUGUUCCCAAUGCUCACAACCUUGGCUGAUAGGUACGUGGGAACAUUAGCCAAUUUAUUCCUCUCAGUAAGCUCUGGACCACCACCUGGGCUCCCAGGGGGGCAGAGAGAAGGGAGGUGACUUGCUGAGACCACACCCCAAGAAGAGACUUGGCAUCUGGCUCCCUCCCUUGACAUCCAGGGCCUCCCGAAUCUCACCUCAGCCUCACCUUCACCGAGGUCAUCACUCAUCACCACUUAGUGAAUAUGUUUCUGGGAGCCAGGCUCUUUGGAUUCGUUUUCUGGCUCCCCUGCUUUCCAGCUGACCUUGGGCAACUUUCUCAACCUUUCUGGGUCAGAUUCCUCCCCUGCAGAAUGCAGCUCUUCUUUCUGCUGACCCGUGGAAACUUCCAGCUCACACUAAACGCAGGGGCGCAGCUGGCACAGAAGCUCCACCAGCUCCCACACUGGUGAGGCCACAGCCCUACGGUGAAUCACUCCUCCCAGACCCCGCGAAAGGGCUCUGCUGCUCUGAUGGGACUCUUGCCGAUGCACAGCGACUGGAAGUUGAUUGAGAAAGUGACCAGCUCUCCUCCACCUACAUGUGACAGAUUUAGCAAAGAAAAAUACAGGACAUUCUAUUCAACUUGAAUUUCACACAAACAAUGGACACCUUUUUAAGUAUGCCCUUCCAGGGAGAAACACUCAACUGGGCCUCUUCCAUAUGCCAGACGUGACGAGAAGGACAUUCGAGGAAGCACGCAACCAGCGUGUGGGAGCCUUGGAGGACGGAGCAGGACAGGCUGAGCUUGGUCCUUGCAGGACCUCAGUUUCACUCUCUGGGCUAUGCUGAAAGGCUGGGGAGUCCCCGAGGGACCCUGAGUCCACACACUGAUUAUCACCACCUCAGGGUAAAGUUCCGGUUCUUUCUUUAAAAAAAUGUAUUUUAAACGUUUCAUUUAUUGAUUUUUUAG